Molecule: ribosomal RNA, 253 nt
Filed under: uncultured bacterium
Lineage: Bacteria
Description: partial 16S ribosomal RNA
Rfam family: Bacterial small subunit ribosomal RNA
Source: RNAcentral
UACGUAGGGAGCAAGCGUUGUUCGGAUUUACUGGGCGUAAAGGGCUCGUAGGUGGCCAACUAAGUCAUACGUGAAAUCCCUCGGCUUAACCGGGGAACUGCGUCUGAUACUGGAUGGCUUGAGAUUGGGAGAGGGAUGCGGAAUUCCAGGUGUAGCGGUGAAAUGCGUAGAUAUCGGGAGGAACACCAGUGGCGAAGGCGACUACCUGGCCCACUCUUGACGCUGAGGCGCGAAAGCUAGGGGAGCGAACGGG